GUGGCAGAUGGGGCAUCUGUGGGUUUUGCCUCUUCUGCAGCCAUUCCCCCCUCCUCUGGUAACAGCACUAUGAUUUGGUGGCGGGGAAGGGCUGGGGGUGCAUCUUUUUCACUGUAAGUCCCUGUGGUUCAGGUGAGACUGAUUCCAUCCUGCCCAAUGCCCCUGCUCCAAGCUGGGCACUUACGCCAGCCUAAGCCAUUGAUUGCCCUGGAAUGUUCAUGUGACUUAAGUUAGGAUGAGGAGAGUCAGCUCCAGGACUUUUGCUGACACUGUUGUGAAAGAGGGGCUUUCUGCUGCGAAUGCCAAGUGGAUGGUAUGCAAGUCUGGAGCUGUUCCUGGCUUGUUCUGUGAAAACUUACUGGAGAAUGAAGCCAAUUAGAAGAGAUGCAUUUGAGCAAUGAAGAAAGAAGUUUCCUGAGGACAUUGAGCAUCUGGAUCCAGCUGCAGCUGAAACUGAUCCUACCCUAGGACUUUGCAGGCUAAGUCUCCCUCUAAGAGUAAAAAACAUGCUGCCAUCAAAUAUAUAGUGAGCAUGUGUCAAAUAUCAAUCUAACUCAUUUAAUGAAGAGACCAGAAAGAUAAUAAAUCUGGUUGAAGGAGAAUUCAAGGAACAGAGAGCUUCCGCUGCUUCAAAACGGCGUGCAGGAGUCAGAGACAUUACAUCAGGAAGAUACUGCAGAGAUAUUCUACUCCAUCUCAUUCAUUGUACAGAUUCUAAACUCCCUGAAGGAGACAAAUUACCAGUGGACAAGAACACAGCCUCUGGAGUCCAAUAGGCCUGGUGCAUUCAUUAGGGUAAGUGGUGCUAGGUGCUAUAACAGAUAAACCUCAAAUUAUUUGUGACUUCACACAAUAUAACCUUAUUUCUUCACUCAUAUGAAGUCGUUUUUAGUACACAUUGCCAUUUAUGGACAUAGGCUCUUACCUUCUCAUGAUUCUUUGCUGCU
This 947-nucleotide long non-coding RNA is filed under the name Homo sapiens (human). Its description in RNAcentral is "HSALNT0325925". Lineage: Eukaryota; Metazoa; Chordata; Mammalia; Primates; Hominidae. The record is from RNAcentral.